AGUACUUCACAAUCACCUUCCAGAGAAUUAUAUCUUUCUGUAACACUCUCUGCGUGUGCUUUGAAGGCAUCGAAGCAUACAAGGUUCUUGUCUCAGCAGAAGAAAGGCUGCAGGGCAGAACCGGGGCAGGGGGCUUUACAGCGUUGCCAGGAGGCACCAGCUCGGUUUCCCUGCAGCAGGCACAUCUCUCCUCUUUGAGAAACACUGAGCAAGUUAGCAAACCCAGCAGGUGGAUCAGGCUCUGCACAGACACUUUGCAAAGCUGUAUUCCUGUCUGGGAAAUCACUGACCUCACCAGACAUCCUCAGUGUUCCAGCAAGAGAACUGUUAGGCUUGACUAAGCCAAGUGCCUGUCCUAGGCUGUCUUAAAAGAUCACUUGGUUAUGCUGGAGAAGACAAAAAUUAAACUGGACUGAAACCAUCACCACUAGUGGCUUUUAUUUUAAGGUGAGAAAUUCACACAUAUAGAAUGCCAAAAGAACAUAAUGUUCCACAAUUUUCACAUAAAGUUCACAGCAUUGUAAGUUAAUGUUAAUAUUUGAAGGAGAUUUGCUAAUUUAUGUGCCAUUAGCA
Molecule: long non-coding RNA, 573 nt
Filed under: Junco hyemalis (dark-eyed junco)
Lineage: Eukaryota; Metazoa; Chordata; Aves; Passeriformes; Passerellidae
Description: lncRNA (ENSJHYG00000013678.1)
Source: RNAcentral